This is a long non-coding RNA of Gorilla gorilla gorilla (western lowland gorilla), 703 nucleotides long. RefSeq lists it as uncharacterized. NCBI's taxonomy places the organism in Eukaryota, Metazoa, Chordata, Mammalia, Primates, Hominidae. The transcript is spliced from 3 exons. The record is from RefSeq and is a predicted model, not a curated record.
ACUCAUGCUCCUGGUCUGGCCAUGUGGGAUGUCUGUUCCUCGUUUCCCUCCUGCCAUGGCUGUUAAGUUUCCUGAGGCUUCACCAGAAACCAAGAGGAUUCCAGCACCAUGCUUCCUGUAUAGCCUGGAGAACUGCGUUUUAAAGAUAAAUGGUAAAACUGAACUGGAAAUCCAUCUGGCCGGCUGCCUGCUCUAAUGAAUAACCCCACUUUGGCUCGUGCAAUGACUUCUUCCCUUUGGAAUGCAAGUGCGGUGGCAGUGUCAAGGAUGCCUGUGUGUUUGCAGCAGGUUCCUUCCAGAAGCAGCUGCAAGUGCCACCUCCAGGCCAUCUGGCCAAUGUGAGGAAAAGAGGCUGCAAGGGCUUGGCAAAAAACAACUUUCUGUUCCUCUGGUAUCCCCUGAUAACUGAUUUCAAGUUAUGGCCAAGGACUGCCUUAUCGCUAUCAGUGGCUGUCAAAAAUUUAUAAGUAUAUUCAUUUCCCUAUUCAACUUAAUUGGUAUUUUGGAUUUGACACUAGAAAAGCAAGUUUGACUUGCCUGUUGGAGUCCAAGGAUACCUCCAACAAAAUUCUAGAGAAUAAAAGAAAGGAUAAGUGUCUGAGGGGAGGGGACACUUACAAGUUAUUCCAUUUAAUGCUAAUUCGAGGCUUCCAAAUUCAUUUUGGGGCAAUCAAAGAUCAAGAGCUCUAUGCAUGGCUUUUUA